UUUUUUAUUGGUGUUCAAUUUACUAACAUACAGAAUAACCCCCAGUGCCCGUCACCCAUUCACUCCCACCCCCCGCCCUCCUCCCCUUCUACCACCUCUAGUUCGUUUCCCAGAGUUAGCAGUCUUUACGUUCUGUCUCCCUUUCUGAAAUCAGGAUUAUUAUAAUGGUUUGUAGAGGAGGUGUGAACUUAUCAUAGCUAAUGAUGUUAAAUACUUCUGAUGAAAUGAGAUUGAAUGCAUGUGUUUUGUGAUGACUAUUUUGUCCCUGGUAUGAGAAUGCUUGUGUGUGUGUGCACAUACAUACAUGUUCACACAUUUAAAUAUCUUCUAAUGAAGAUAAAAAUAAUCAAUAAGACACUGAUACUGUGUUAUGGUUCCUACCUAACAAACAAGGAAAUUGAGAUGAUUGGACAACUUCCACCAAGAUACAUACCCAGAAACUAGAUCUCCUGAUUCCUAGUCACAUAACAUAAAAAGAAAUUGUGCUUUCCAAACAUUUCCCAAGUUACUUAUGUCUCAAAUGCAAACAGCCCAAACAUCUCUGCUACCUUCUCUUCAAGGCAGCCUUGUCCCAGAAGAGGAGGGAUCUGAGGCUGAGUUCACAAACAAGUUAAUGGCAUUAUUUUCCUUGCAAUCAAUCCAGCAACCCCAACCAGGAGUGACUGGCCAAGCUUCUCACUGCUGAGACUCCUUUAUGUUUAUGGAAGGUUCAAGGGCACCAUCCCCUAGCAUAAGUGUUGCCAAGGACAACAGUCCCUAGUCCUGGAAACCUAAAACUAUGUGUCAUACCACAGACACCCCACUAAAGGGGCCAGGUCUCAUCUUAGCUUUGUUCCACAGUCCACUUUUAAUUUCUUUUCAUUCUACAGUUAUUUAUUAAAGGCCAACUGAGAAUUCAGAGGCAUUGCUAUCAUUUGGGUGUCCAGCCCUAGAAUGCAAGCUUUAUGUUUAUUAACACACUUAACAUUCACGAUAACCCUCUGACAUAGGUACUAUUCUUAUUCCCAUUUUACAAAUAAGGAAACUGAGGCACAGAGAGUAACAUGAUCAAAAUCACAUGGUUGGCAAGUGCUAGAUCUGAACAGACCCCUAGGAAGCCUCCUCUUUAUACAUCAUCAUGACUGUUAUAAGAGAGACACAACCCCCGCCCUCAUGGAGCUCCAUGUAAUGGGAAAUAUAAGAGGCGAACCAUUAAUUUUAAGUGAUAGGCUUAAUCACAAUUCUAAUGAUAUGAUAGAGAAGUUGCAAGAGACUAAAAAACCUGUAGUGGGGGAUCUGAUCCUUGUGGGGAAAGAGGGGGUAUCAGGGAGGCUUUCCCUGGGGAAAAACUGUUGGCAUCCAGUUCACAAGGAUAAGCAGGAAUUCACCAGGUAGAGGGUGAGAGGAGUCUCCCAGACAAAAGGCAAUGAGGGUAGAUGCCUUGAGGCAAAGAAGAGUGUGGAAGGUGAAAGAAACAUCAAGAAGCCAGGGUGAUGGAUGUCAGAGGACAAGGCAGUGGGGCACCAGAGGAAGCUGAAGAGGUGGCCAAUGUCUGCACUCCGGUGGCCGCGAUGGGAUGGGGAAGCAGGGCAGAGAAUAGAGAUAUGACUAGAAAACCACCUAGCCGGAAGUCUAGAUGUGACUCAUCCUGUCCUUUAUGCCUGACUCUGGAGCUCUUUCCUUGCUUUAGGAUCCCCACAGGGCUUUCCAAAAUAGAGUUACACUAGAGACUCUAUUUAGGAAAGAAAAAUGAAACAUUUAUUGAACAUUUGCUCUCUCAUUUAAUGUAGUCAAUCCUUCACAACAAAAUUUUUGAGGCUUCUAUUAAAUUUUAUGGUUUUGGAAACGAAAGGAUCAGAGACAAGGACCUGCUCACUGUCAUCCUGUGCUGUGGGAAGGAGUUGGCUCUCAGGCCAGAGCUUUACUAUUCAAAUUCUUCUGCUCCUUCCACUGCUCCAUAGUGACUCUGGAUUCAGUGGAGAAAGCAAUCAGCAGAGGAUGCCACAAAGAGCUCCAAGAAAUCAAGGUCUAUGCAAGUCCACGGAAGCUACCUCCUUUGCUUGUGAAGUUUGGCAUGAGAACUAGUGUGAACUCUUUCCUCCCUGAGUCCCUCCUUACCCCCACAGUCAGCAUCUCAGAGGGAAUCAGAUGGCACACUCAGAUUGGACAAAUGGAGGAGAGUUUAGUAAAAGGCCUACUGACCAACGUAUAGGAUGGGUAAAGGACAAUCACCAGGUAUAGUAAUUACUGGGCACUAUCCUCAGCCUUCUUCUGAAGGAGCAGCAGGAGUGUUCACAGGACUCUGGAAAGGGUAUGCUUGGGGAAGUGGGAGGCUGUAGAGAGAGGGCUACCUGACAGGAUUGUGGUGUUUAGUCCUUAUUGACACCAUAGGACAGCAACCAGGGAAAUAAAUACCCAAACUCAUUCCCAUGCAUCCUCUAGCCUCCUGUUAAUGCUCCCCACUGGCCAAACCCAACCAAAGUUUUGAGGGUGUUAUGGGCUGAAUUGCAUUCCCUGAAAGUUACAUAUUGAAGCCCUAAUCCCCAGUACCUCAGAAUGGAUCCAAAUAUAGAGAUAGGUCCUUUAAAGAUAUAAAUAGGUUAAAAUAAGGCCAUUAGGGUAGGCCCUGAUCCAAUAUGACUGGUGUCUUUACUUUUUUAAAAAAAGGGAAUUUGGACACAGACACAUACAGAAGGAAGACCGUGUGAAGACACGGAGAAGACGGCCAUCGGCAAGCCCAGGAAACAGAGGUCCUUGAGAAAACCAACCUUGCCACACUCUGAUCUUAGGCUUACAGCCUCCAGAAUGGUGAGAAAAUAACUUCCUGCUGUUUAAGCCACGCACUCUGUGGUGUUUUGUUAUGGCAGCCCCAGAAAACUCAUACAAUGGGCAAGGAAGCUGGUUGAUGGUAGAUGUGGCCCACACAAGGCAGCCCCUGAGGCACAGAGCAGGGUGGAGAAGGAAGAAGAGAAGCUAUGAAGGAGCAAAUGAAAAAGAUACAGCACAAUUCCUACUCAGUCCCUCAGAAAUGAGUAUUUCACAAGGUGCUAUAGCACUAUCAAAAUGCUUGCCCCACAGUCGUACCUCAUGCUUUCCGACCACAAAGCAGAGCCCCACCACAGUGCUGGUGUAUACUCCCUUCCCUGACCACAUACCCCAAUCCCAGCUGGCUGAGAGACUUAGCUGGAGUCCCCAUCCUCUGCCAGGCCAUCCUCUGCAUUCCUGGCUACAUCCCCUCCCUCCCCAAGUCUCCAGGGAUAGAUUAAACCCUCACCUGCAUGUUUUGCUAGACUGCCUGGUGAUUAAGAUAAUGCACAUCUUGAAAACAGGGACUAUGUCUUAUUUAUUUCUGGUGAAUAAAAGAACGACUGAUGGUUGAAUGGAGAAAACCAACAUUGAUUGAUUACCAUCAAUGUGCCAAGGACCAUGUUCACUGCUUUCACACAUUUUAAUACUGCCCAUAUCAAGAUCAAGGAGCCAGGAAAAAAUUAUUAUUUAUUUGGCACUUACUCUAAGCAUAAGCCAGGGGUGAUGGCAAAAUACUUAACAACCCAUAGAGCAUAGGCGCCAAACAAACCUAUCACAGCAUAUGUUGUCCAUAAACCCAAGGAUAGCUGGGUUCACACCAUGGCUAAGGAUCAGCCUGGCCCCAGGCCCCAUCCAGAAGAAUUUCUGGUGUAUUAUUUCACUGAAUCCUCAUAACACCAAUUGAGAUAAGUUUUAUUAUCCCCAUCACAAAACACAGAAACUUGAGUUUGUUGUGUCAAUCUUACCAUGCAGCCCCUUCAUGUUGGAGGGGUCCCCUUUCCUUGGGACAUGCUUCCCCCAGAGAGCCACAGAGGUCACUUCUUCCAGUCUUUAUAAAAGUGCCAUCUCCCCAGCAAUCCCUUUCUUUUAAAAUUAACCCCCACGUGGGGCACCAGGAUGGUUGUCAGUUAAGUGACUGGCUCUUGAUUUCAGCUCAGGUCAUGAUUUCAGUGUCCUGGGAUAGAGCCCCCCUGCCUCCUGCCCCAGGCUCCAUGCUCAGCUUGUGGAUUGUCUCUUCCUCUUCCUCUGACCCUCCCCCUGUUUGAGGUUGCGGUCUCAUGCACUCUCUUUCUCUCUCUAGAAUAAAUAACUAAAUCUUUAAAAUCAAGCCUCACAUACCUGCCUCCCUUUCAAGCUUUCUUUUUCCUCAUAGUAUUCUUUUUACAUUUCUUACGGUAAAAUGUAUUUAGCAUAAAAUUUACUACUUUAAUCUUUAAAUAUACAAGUGGGUGUUAUUAAGUGCAUUCACCAGGUUGGGAAAUCCUCAUCACUAUCCACUUGUAGAAAUUUUUUUUAUCAUCCCAAACAGAAACUCUGUACCUAUUACACAAUAAAUCUCUAUCUUCUCUUUCCUGACCCCUGGCAACCACUAUUAUACUUUCUGUUUUUAGGAAUUUGCUUAUUCUAGAUGUCUGGAAUAAGUGGAAUCACAAGAUGCUUGCCUUUUUGUGUGUGUGGCUUGUUUCACUUAAUGUCUUCAGAGUUUAUUGAUACUGUAGCAUGUGUCAGAUUUUCAUUCCUUUUUAAGGUGUAUAUUAUUCCACUGUGUGUGUGUGUGUGUGUGUUGUUUAUCCAUUCAUCUUCCAAUGUCCAUUUGAGUUGUUUCAGCCAUUUGGCUCUUGUGAACAAUGCGGCUAUAAACAUGUGUGUUCAACUAUCUAUUUGAGUCUGCUUUCGAUACUUUGGGGUAUAUACCUAGAAUUGAAAUUGCUGGAUCAUAUGAUAAUUCUAUGUUUAACUUUUUGAGGAACUACCAAACCGUUUCCAUCCCUAUAACAUUUAUAGCCAUCUGUCAUACUAUGUGUUUUACCAAUUUAUUUUGAUUAUUGAAUAUCACCACCCAUGAAGAUACAAGCUCCAGUGAAGGCAGGAAUUUUUCUGUGUUUGGUUCACUACUAUAUCCCCCAUACCUUGCACAUGUCUGGCACAAAGUAGGUGCACCAUAAUAUUUACUAAAUGCAUGAAUGUAUGUAGUGUAGGCCCUGACCUUGAGGUUAAGGGUCUUUGGGAACCAAAAGAGUGGAGUAAGGUCUUUGCCUGCUGUAUGCAAAACAUCAACAUCAAAGAGAGAGAGAAAACUUAGAUGAGGGAUGAAAAUGAGAGAUCAGAGCAGGGGAGACAAUAGCAAGUGUUGGCUCUGUGUGAGGUUGCAAACAGGAAGAUCAGUCAUCAGGUCAAUAAGGGGACUGAAUCAGCAUGAGAAGAGGCAUUCAGGAUGAAACAAGGUGAACAGCUCAGACCAGAUAGUGAGACCAACACUGAAAUGCCCUGGCAGGGCUUAAGUGGAGUUAGCUGAAUAGUGACUAUGGGGCCCUACUUGUCUUAAAAAAAAAAAAAAAAA
This 5347-nucleotide long non-coding RNA is filed under the name Canis lupus familiaris (dog). Its description in RNAcentral is "lncRNA (ENSCAFG00000054624.1)". The record is from RNAcentral. Lineage: Eukaryota; Metazoa; Chordata; Mammalia; Carnivora; Canidae.